UGUAUCUGGCUCUGAGGGGCCUGUCUCUCUCUCUCUCUGUCUGUAUCUGGCUCUGAGGGGCCUGUCUCUCUCUCUCUGUCUGUAUCUGGCUCUGAGGGGCCUGUCUCUCUCUCUCUCUGUCUGUAUCUGACUCUGAGGGGCCUGUCUCUCUCUCUGGGCCUGUCUCUCUCUCUCUCUCUGUCUGUAUCUGGCUCUGAGGGGCCUGUCUCUCUCUCUCUCUCUCUGUAUCUGGCUCUGAGGGGCCUGUCUCUCUCUCUCUCUGUCUGUAUCUGGCUCUGAGGGGCCUGUCUCUCUCUCUCUCUGUCUGUAUCUGGCUCUGAGGGGCCUGUCUCUCUCUCUCUCUGUCUGUAUCUGGCUCUGAGGGGCCUGUCUCUCUCUCUCUCUCUGUAUCUGGCUCUGAGGGGCCUGUCUCUCUCUCUCUCUGUCUGUAUCUGGCUCUGAGGGGCCUGUCUCUCUCUCUCUCUGUCUGUAUCUGGCUCUGAGGGGCCUGUCUCUCUCUCUCUCUGUCUGUAUCUGGCUCUGAGGGGCCUGUCUCUCUCUCUCUGUGUCUGUAUCUGGCUCUGAGGGGCCUGUCUCUCUCUCUCUCUGUCUGUAUCUGGCUCUGAGGGGCCUGUCUCUCUCUCUCUCUGUCUGUAUCUGGCUCUGAGGGGCCAUGCUGAAGCCACCAGCCAGCCUGUCUCUCUCUCUCUGUGUCUGACCUCAAUGAGAACACAGCAGCUCGUUCUGUUCAUCAAUCAUUCAUCACCUAGUAGGGUGUCAGUGGGCCAGGUGUCCUUCCUGGUUGGAACUGUCUCCCUCGUUUCAGUAGGACCUGUAGACAUUAACGAGGUCCAGUAGGACCUGUAGACAUUAACGAGGUCCGGUAGGACCUGUAGACAUUAACGAGGUCCGGUAGGACCUGUAGACAUUAACGAGGUCCGGUAGGACCUGUAGACAUUAACGAGGUCCAGUAGGACCUGUAGACAUUAACGAGGUCCGGUAGGACCUGUAGACAUUAACGAGGUCCGGUAGGACCUGUAGACAUUAACGAGGUCCGGUAGGACCUGUAGACAUUAACGAGGUCCAGUAGGACCUGUAGACAUUAACGAGGUCCAGUAGGACCUGUAGACGAGGUCCAGUAGGACCUGUAGACGCGGCCGGUCCGCGGGAACAUUAACGAGGUCCAGUAGGACCUGUAGACGAGGUCCAGUAGGACCUGUAGACAUUAACGAGGUCCAGUAGGACCUGUAGACAUUAACGAGGUCCGGUAGGACCUGUAGACAUUAACGAGGUCCAGUAGGACCUGUAGACAUUAACGAGGUCCAGUAGGACCUGUAGACGCGGCCGGUCCGCGGGAACAUUAACGAGGUCCAGUAGGUUUAGUCAUUACAGAAGGGUGACUUGGUGAAGAGGAUUUUGAAUAUUGACUCUGUGGUCCUCAACCAGCCAGCAUGGAAGCUACUGGUGUUUAGAUUUUCAUUGGCUUCUCUCCAAGCUUGGCUCAAUGUGCAGGGAACUUUGUGUUUGCAUGAUAUGCCAACGGCUGUGUCCUCUAACCCAGCCUGGCAGUUAGGACUUAUCCUCUGUUACCAUAGAG
RNAcentral lists this long non-coding RNA (1576 nucleotides) under Salmo salar (Atlantic salmon). Its description in RNAcentral is "lncRNA (ENSSSAG00000087386.1)". The record is from RNAcentral. Lineage: Eukaryota; Metazoa; Chordata; Actinopteri; Salmoniformes; Salmonidae.